Molecule: ribosomal RNA, 253 nt
Filed under: uncultured bacterium
Lineage: Bacteria
Description: partial 16S ribosomal RNA
Rfam family: Bacterial small subunit ribosomal RNA
Source: RNAcentral
UACGUAGGGUGCGAGCGUUAAUCGGAAUUACUGGGCGUAAAGCGUGCGCAGGCGGUUUUGUAAGCCAGGUGUGAAAUCCCCGGGCUUAACCUGGGAACUGCGCUUGUAACUGGCAAGCUUGAGUGUGGCAGAGGGGGGUGGAAUUCCACGUGUAGCAGUGAAAUGCGUAGAGAUGUGGAGGAACACCGAUGGCGAAGGCAGCCCCCUGGGCUAACACUGACGCUCAUGCACGAAAGCGUGGGGAGCAAACAGG